This 735-nucleotide ribosomal RNA is filed under the name uncultured archaeon. Its description in RNAcentral is "bacterial SSU rRNA". It matches the Rfam family "Archaeal small subunit ribosomal RNA", at positions 126 to 859 of the family's 1478-position model. The record is from RNAcentral.
AUAACCCCGGGAAACUGGGGAUAAUUCCGGAUAACGCACAUAUGCUGGAAUGCUUUAUGCGUCAAAUGGAUUCGUCUGCCCAAGGAUGGGUCUGCGGCCUAUCAGGUAGUAGUGGGUGUAAUGUACCUACUAGCCGACGACGGGUACGGGUUGUGAGAGCAAGAGCCCGGAGAUGGAUUCUGAGACAUGAAUCCAGGCCCUACGGGGCGCAGCAGGCGCGAAAACUUUACAAUGCGGGAAACCGUGAUAAGGGGACACCGAGUGCCAGCAUCAUAUGCUGGCUGUCCGGGUGUGUAAAAUACACCUGUUAGCAAGGGCCGGGCAAGACCGGUGCCAGCCGCCGCGGUAACACCGGCGGCCCGAGUGGUGAUCGUGAUUAUUGGGUCUAAAGGGUCCGUAGCCGGUUUGGUCAGUCCUCCGGGAAAUCUGACGGCUUAACCGUUAGGCUUUCGGAGGAUACUGCCAGGCUUGGAACCGGGAGAGGUAAGAGGUACUACAGGGGUAGGAGUGAAAUCUUGUAAUCCCUGUGGGACCACCUGUGGCGAAGGCGUCUUACCAGAACGGGUUCGACGGUGAGGGACGAAGGCUGGGGGCACGAACCGGAUUAGAUACCCGGGUAGUCCCAGCCGUAAACGAUGCUCGCUAGGUGUCAGGCAUGGCGCGACCGUGUCUGGUGCCGUAGGGAAGCCGUGAAGCGAGCCACCUGGGAAGUACGGCCGCAAGGCUGAAACUUAA